Molecule: long non-coding RNA, 207 nt
Filed under: Elaeis guineensis (African oil palm)
Lineage: Eukaryota; Viridiplantae; Streptophyta; Magnoliopsida; Arecales; Arecaceae
Description: long non-coding RNA (EGUI_LNC028228)
Source: RNAcentral
AAACAUCCUUCCAAAUAUCAGCUCAUUUUAUUUUAAAUAGUCACCAAAAAUUUAUCUUCAUUGUUACUAUGAUCAAUUCAAUUUCUUAAUCAAUUUCUUCCUCAAGGUCAAACAGAUUUAUGCUUCAUUAAUGCUAAUCAAUUAAGAUUCAAAUGCUCAAGUACAUCAUGAUCGAAAUGCUAAAUAUGAACGCAAGUUUCUCGGGCC